UGGGUCGUUAGCUCAGUUGGUAGAGCAGUUGACUCUUAAUCAAUUGGUCGCAGGUUCGAACCCUGCACGACCCACCAA
RNAcentral lists this transfer RNA (78 nucleotides) under Yersinia pestis Angola. RNAcentral describes it as "tRNA-Lys". It matches the Rfam family "tRNA". From Rfam's summary of the family: Transfer RNA (tRNA) molecules are approximately 80 nucleotides in length. Their secondary structure includes four short double-helical elements and three loops (D, anti-codon, and T loops). RNAcentral also lists the same sequence under 8 other names. Lineage: Bacteria; Pseudomonadati; Pseudomonadota; Gammaproteobacteria; Enterobacterales; Yersiniaceae. The record is from RNAcentral.